Molecule: ribosomal RNA, 368 nt
Filed under: uncultured organism
Description: bacterial SSU rRNA
Rfam family: Bacterial small subunit ribosomal RNA
Source: RNAcentral
CGUAGGUGGCAAGGCGUUGUCCGGAAUUAUUGGGCGUAAAGCGCGCGCAGGCGGUUCCUUAAGUCUGAUGUGAAGCCCCGGCUCAACCGGGGAAGUCAUUGGAACUGGGAACUUGAGUGCAGAAGAGAAGAGCGGAAUUCCACGUGUAGCGGUGAAAUGCGUAGAGAUGUGGAGGAACACCAGUGGCGAAGGCGGCUCUUUGGUCUGUAACUGACGCUGAGGCGCGAAAGCGUGGGGAGCAAACAGGAUUAGAUACCCUGGUAGUCCACGCCGUAAACGAUGAGUGCUAAGUGUUAGAGGGUUUCCGCCCUUUAGUGCUGCAGCUAACGCAUUAAGCACUCCGCCUGGGGAGUACGGCCGCAAGGCUG